Molecule: long non-coding RNA, 491 nt
Filed under: Arabidopsis lyrata
Lineage: Eukaryota; Viridiplantae; Streptophyta; Magnoliopsida; Brassicales; Brassicaceae
Description: long non-coding RNA (ALYR_LNC000921)
Source: RNAcentral
GUUUUUCUAUGCAUCAAAAGUGUUCGAUAGAAUGUCUGAAAGAAUGUGAAUUGAGCAAUGUAUUUCUAGCCAACGAAAGUUGAAGUUAGGACGCAUUGUGAACUAAAUGAACUUGUUUGAUAAUGCGAAUUUGACUAGGAAAUUACAUGCGAAAGUUUAGUAAUCGAGUAGUCAAAUUUAGUGAUUAAUGUCUUGAAAGAGAAUUAGUCUAAGUUGUGUUCAUGUUCAAGAACGGUUCGUAAUUGUUGAAUUCCUUGUCUCAUGUUUCCAUUGUUUAUUGAUCUCUGAAAUACCCUAAUGCCUAAUGUCUUUAAAUCUUGAAACUUAAAUCGUUUAAUUUAAUUGCAUUUUUAUUUUACAAUUCGGAAAACUCAAACAAAACAACUCUUCGCUUUAGCUAAGAACGAGUCUCGGAAAUCCUUAGAGUAUCUUUGGUCCUUGUGGAUCGACCCCGUAUAUACUACCUUGCGGUUAAGUGUAUCGGGUAAUUA